Molecule: ribosomal RNA, 484 nt
Filed under: uncultured bacterium
Lineage: Bacteria
Description: partial 16S ribosomal RNA
Rfam family: Bacterial small subunit ribosomal RNA
Source: RNAcentral
AGUGAACGCUGGCGGCAGGCCUAACACAUGCAAGUCGAGCGGCAGCGCGGGGGCAACCCUGGCGGCGAGCGGCGGACGGGUGAGGAAUUCGUCGGAAUCUGCCUUUUUGUGGGGGAUAACGUAGGGAAACUUACGCUAAUACCGCAUACGUCCUACGGGAGAAAGUGGGGGACCGCAAGGCCUCACGCAGAAAGAUGAGCCGACGACCGAUUAGCUAGUUGGUGGGGUAAAGGCCCACCAAGGCGACGAUCGGUAGCUGGUCUGAGAGGAUGAUCAGCCACACUGGGACUGAGACACGGCCCAGACUCCUACGGGAGGCAGCAGUGGGGAAUAUUGGACAAUGGGCGCAAGCCUGAUCCAGCCGUGCCGCGUGUGAGAAGAAGGCCUUCGGGUUGUAAAGCACUUUUGUCCGGAAAGAAAUCCCUGGAGCUAAUACCUUCGGGGGAUGACGGUACCGGAAGAAUAAGCACCGACUAACUUCGUG